GACGAACGCUGGCGGCGUGCUUAACACAUGCAAGUCGAACGGAAAGGCCCUGCUUUUGUGGGGUGCUCGAGUGGCGAACGGGUGAGUAACACGUGAGUAACCUGCCCUUGACUUUGGGAUAACUUCAGGAAACUGGGGCUAAUACCGGAUAGGAGCUCCUGCUGCAUGGUGGGGGUUGGAAAGUUUCGGCGGUUGGGGAUGGACUCGCGGCUUAUCAGCUUGUUGGUGGGGUAGUGGCUUACCAAGGCUUUGGCGGGUAGCCGGCCUGAGAGGGUGACCGGCCACAUGGGGACUGAGAUACGGCCCAGACUCCUACGGGAGGCAGCAGUGGGGAAUAUUGCACAAUGGGCGGAAGCCUGAUGCAGCAACGCCGCGUGCGGGAUGACGGCCUUCGGGUGGUAAACCGCUUUCGCCUGUGACGAAGCGUGAGUGACGGUAAUGGGUGAAGAAGCACCGGCUAACUACGUG
This 468-nucleotide ribosomal RNA is filed under the name uncultured bacterium. Its description in RNAcentral is "partial 16S ribosomal RNA". It matches the Rfam family "Bacterial small subunit ribosomal RNA", at positions 28 to 507 of the family's 1533-position model. The record is from RNAcentral.